Molecule: transfer RNA, 73 nt
Filed under: Candidatus Omnitrophota bacterium
Lineage: Bacteria; Pseudomonadati; Candidatus Omnitrophota
Description: tRNA-Gln
Rfam family: tRNA
About the family: Transfer RNA (tRNA) molecules are approximately 80 nucleotides in length. Their secondary structure includes four short double-helical elements and three loops (D, anti-codon, and T loops).
Source: RNAcentral
AGUUCCGUUGAGUAGUGGUCAAUCUUACCAGGUUUUGGUCCUGGUGACGGGGGUUCGAAUCCCUUCGGAACUA